AAGUCAGAGGGACAUGACCUCCCCACUGGUCUCCAGACAACUUUGUUUUAGUCUCCAUUGGGCUAGAAGAAUUAAGUAAAACUUACUCAUAUUGUAUUUCAUUCUUCUCCAUGAGGGUCUGGACAGAUCUAGACUGAUGUGCACCGACAUGGAAAUCCACCUGCAUCUGAGUGACUAUAUGAGGGGCUGAAUCUGGGUGCCAGAAGUCAAGCUGCACAGGGAGAAAUUCAAAGUGUCUUACUUUAGUAUGUAGUCAAAGUCAAGCGUGCACUUGUGAAUGAUGGCGGCUCCAUAGCAACCACAGAAUAUUUCCGAUGAACAUCAUGCAGUAGCAUUCCAUGCAUAUGAUGCACACUCUUACAUUCCUUACAUUCAAUUGCCUGAGGAAUUCUCUCAUCUGACAUAACCAGGAGACCUACUGUGAAUUACACAAGAUUUGCUAGUGUUUAGUAGCAGUUCUGGAAAUAAGUCUUCAAGAUUUCUUAGGGAUGCUGGAGAUGAGACAGUGAAACAGACCUUGCAAUAAUUAAUCCAGAUCUGACAGUAUUCUGAGGAGAUGGCUGCAGCUGACAUGCUGGGGAAAUUCUUGGGCGCGUGUGACACAGCAUACCUGGCUCCUGAAUUGUGUCCCAUAGAGGAGAGUCUGGACAUAUCUGGAUUGACCCAGAAAUCCACUUCCACGUUAGCAACUUCAUCAUGAGCUGAAUCCAGAUGACAGAAAUUGAGCUGCACAGAGAAAUGAGGAGUGUCUCGUUUUAGUGCUUACAUAGUGCAAUUGGCCUGGUUGGCUUUAUCUGAGAUUCAGGGAGUGCAAAUCCAUAUGUGCCUUUAUCACGGAGCUCAAAGGUGAAGGAGUACUUGAUACCCUGAUCAUAAGCCCAGUCAUCAGAACCACCAGCAGCAGGAUCUGCAUUGGGAGAGAAGAAAACUUGACUAGAAAAGGACAACUCACUGGAAUUCCUAGUGUGCCCAUCACCUUAGUAUUUGGGCGUUACAUAGUUAUUGUGCAAAUCUCAUUGGUAACCUACAGGCGCAUGUUCGCACAUUUGCAGAACUGGAAGUGUUGCAUCCACACCUUCAGGACAGUGAAGUAAAUGGGACCAGUUGCAAAGAAAAGUACUACUCAACAAGAGUAAAGAUAUCACAGUCUACACCAUUACG
Mauremys reevesii (Reeves's turtle) is the source of this 1161-nucleotide long non-coding RNA. RefSeq lists it as uncharacterized. The transcript has 5 exons. The record is from RefSeq and is a predicted model, not a curated record. Lineage: Eukaryota; Metazoa; Chordata; Testudines; Geoemydidae.